CCUACGGGGGGCUGCAGUGGGGAAUAUUGCGCAAUGGGCGAAAGCCUGACGCAGCAACGCCGCGUGAGGGAUGAAGGCUUUCGGGUCGUAAACCUCUGUCGGAAGGGAAGAACGGGCAUUGGUCUAAUAGGCCUUUGUUUUGACGGUACCUUUAGAGGAAGCACCGGCUAACUCCGUGCCAGCAGCCGCGGUAAUACGGAGGGUGCAAGCGUUAUUCGGAAUUACUGGGCGUAAAGCGCACGUAGGCGGCUUCGUAAGUCAGGGGUGAAAUCCCACGGCUCAACCGUGGAACUGCCUUUGAAACUGCAAAGCUUGAAUCCUGGAGAGGGUGGCGGAAUUCCUGGUGUAGGAGUGAAAUCCGUAGAUAUCAGGAGGAACACCGGUGGCGAAGGCGGCCACCUGGACAGGUAUUGACGCUGAGGUGCGAAAGUGUGGGGAGCAAACAGGAUUAGAUACCCCGGUAGUC
Molecule: ribosomal RNA, 466 nt
Filed under: uncultured Desulfomicrobium sp.
Lineage: Bacteria; Pseudomonadati; Thermodesulfobacteriota; Desulfovibrionia; Desulfovibrionales; Desulfomicrobiaceae
Description: bacterial SSU rRNA
Rfam family: Bacterial small subunit ribosomal RNA
Source: RNAcentral